UUAAAAUGUUAAAACCAAGUGAUUGGCGUUUUUCCCGGUGUGUUCCCUGGCCGAGCUCACCUGGCCGCAGGUGCCCAGGGCACUUCCCGCCUCAGGUCCUCCUCCAGCAUCUCCUCCUGCCGGUCAAACUCGAGCUCCAGGCUCUGCAGGCUGGAGUCCAGCUGAGCGAACCGAGCCUCCAGGGACAGCAGCCUGCUUUCUACUCUGGGCGGUGGAAAACAACAGUAAGGGAAUUUCAGAAGGAUUUGGGGCUUUCUGCCGUGGCAUUGCAUUGUGAGCAGCUUCAGACCCCGUUCUGGGGGUCCUCCCAUGGUUUGUGAGAGCAAACAACACUAAAAGUCAAAGUUGGUUGUCACUUCUUUUUGGCUAUUUCCUGGUGCAAAGAUCCUGACAUCUCCAAAAACAGCUGCAAAAUUAGUAUGUAGAUAUAUCUGUGGCUCUCAACCAUAUGCAUUAGCAGUGUCAUAGGUUUUUCUGUAGCACAUUGUGAGGUGAUUUAUGCUUUUAUUUGUAAUGUCUUUUGAACCAUUUUCAUUUAACAUUGAGCAGAACUUACCAUUAAAAAUUAUGGUUAAAUUCUGGUUAAAAUUUGGUUAAAAUAUGGUUAAAUUCUGGUUAAAAAUUAUACAAAUAAUAAACAAGCCACCCGCAGUGGUUUUUUUAAUAGGACUGUCCUUCCAUGGAAUGACUGUGAUAAAAACUACUUCAUGGCUUGUAUUUAUUAACUGCUUUUUCAUUAUUUGGUAUCUGUUGUGGUUUCUCCUAUUUAAAACUGUAAAUUAUAAAGAUGAGGCUUUGAGCUGUAAGCCACUCCACUUUUGCUGAAGAAAACUGCCUGGUUUAAAAGAACUUGCUGUAUUGAGACAAGGUACAAGGGAAUGCCAGGAUUUAUUUUUGUACCAUUUCUCUCUUUCCUGGAGAUACAGGGUGUGCUGGGCUUCUUUCACUGUGGGUGGGUUUUAUAAACAUAGUUUUCUCCACAUUUUCCUGUUACCUGAUUGACAUCGAGGUGUGUUAUUGAGAAUCCUGAGGAUCUGAGAGCUAAUGUAAAUAAUUCAAAGUUCCUUCCUAAGUACUGAACAUCUCUGUUGACAGUACUAUGUAGUCAAUAGUGAUUUACUAGCAGAGCAUCAUCUCCUCCUUACAGAAUUUUUUGUGAUCUUUCUUUUUAUUUUACUGGCAAAACUUCAGGCUGUAUCAGCUAACAAUAAUUACACUAUCAGCAAAUAUUAUUACCUACAGAUUUUUCCUUCUUUCAUUCCUAGUUUGCUUCACUGCUUCUGUGACCUACCUACCUGUGUUAAACACUCUAUUACCUGUAUCUUUGGAUUAACUUUUUUUAAGGACAAAAUACACAGCAGCUGAUGAUGACAUUAAAAGAUAAAAAGCCAAAAAGAAAACCCUUCCAAUAUUUUUCCAUUCUUUGACAUGUAUCCCAUGGUAUUUUAAUGCCUGUCAUAAGAGAUGGACUAAAAUGCCAUUUUUUCCUAUCAGCAGCUCCUCCCUCUCCCUGCCUCCCCUUUCACCAAACCAAACCUUUCUUUGGAUUCUGUCUGCAGCUGACCUGAAUGAGGAGAAAAUAAAGACUUCAACAGUGGCAUAUUUUACUAAGUAUCCCCGACCUUAAUUCAUUGUCUGGCCGAUUGUGCAGAUCUUUGUCUAACGAUUUUCUGUUGUUUCCUGGGGCUAGAGGCUUCCUCUGCAGCCUGGUGAAGUUCCUCUUUCUGGUGUAGGACUCCUCUCGCUUCAGCAAGAAUUUUGGGACAAAAAUAGAACUUUAAUUGGAAAACUAAGCUGGUGACAUGUAGAAAUGUAGGGAGUUGAGAAGAGCUGGAAGGAUUGAUGUGUCAUAAUUGGAUUGAAUCUGUCAGCACAGAGAGAGCAAGAGCAGAAACUGAGGUGAGUUGGGGUUUGCUAUGAGUGACUUUCAGAGCUGGGCUGUCAGAUAAUAAUGAGUGUUCUGCCCGGUGAAUUGCUGGUUUGCAGCUUUUUAUCAUGGUAAAUAAGCUUCCUCACAGCCCAUUCUCCAACUUCCUCCUGUGCAAGUAAGAGUGAAGUUAUCUAAGAUCUCAUCACUAAUGCUACUCUCUGCAGCAGCAGUUCCUCAGCAGCCUUCAGUCCAAUGUUUUACUAUUUGACCAGUUUUGUCUCUCAAACAUUGUUUUUAUUGCCUGUCUGUAAAUUAAUCUUCUGUAUUUUUAAGCACCUCCAACAAACAUUUCAGCAUUUGCCAGUUUUGAAUCUAAAAAUGUCUGCUCAGUUAUACCACACUGAAUUCCCACAGCUGUAAGUGAAUUCUGAUAGACUGAGUGCUGCUGCCUCCUGAUCUAAGUUUGGAAUGAAAAGAGGAAGAAUGGAUUAAACCUCCUGUUUUCAUUUCCAUCAUGACCUCUGAACACUUUUCCCUUUAGUGUAAGUGAAGUUACCACUAAGUCAGUGACCUCUACCUCUGACUAGUGUACACACAAACCACAUCCCCAUUCUUUACCAGAAAGCUUUUCAAAUUCCUGUCAUUAGCGCACAGAACAUAAUUGGAAGCCAUGCAGUAGAAGCUCCAGCAUUCCCAAUUCUCUGCAAGUGUGGUUCUAUGUGAAACAUAAUUUCUGCUAUUCAGGCAUUUACAGAAAAUGACAUUUUGGAGCUGUCACUCUGUGGGUUUGAUUUUCCAGGCCAGUGCAUCAUCCCACACUUCUCCAAGCUCUCCCCAUUCCCUCACUCCAUGAUAUGUUAGACACACACUUCUCCAAGCAGUUUCCCACAGAAUUAAUUUUCAAUUUUUUUCUUUCAGGAGCUGUUUCACUGUUUCUCCCUCUGGUCAGGUCUCCAAUUGUUACUUUUGUGCUCACCAUUGUGUGAAUCAGAGUCACCCAGGCUGUGGGUGAACCAACAGUAUGAGCAAUAUCUCAGCAAGAGGAACAGUUUCUUUCCCAGUCUGGCAGCUGUCUGUCUGUCAACACAUAAUCAUUCAUUUCCUGAGCAGAAGUACUGCAUCCCAUCAGCUGGGAUACUCUUGACAGGGAUCCUUUUCACUGCAGACUCUGAGGCAUGGUCUGAAAAUCAGAAGUUCACCUCAAAUCUCCAAUUAGAACAGCAAGCCUGAAUUUCACAGAAACACAGAAUGUGCUGGGUUGGAAGAGAUCCAUAAGGAUCCAACUGCUGGCCCCCACAGCAAUCCCACCCUGUGCCUGAGAGCAUUGUCCAAAUGUUUCUUGAGCUUUGGCAGCUUUGGUGCUGUGAUAUUCCCUGGGAAGCCUCUUCAAAGCCUGACCAUGCUCUGGGAGAACAUUUUUCUAAUAUCCAACCUAAACCUCCGCUGACACAGCUUAAGGCCAUUCCCCCAGGUCCUGUCACUGGUCCCCACAGAGAUCAGUGUCUGUCUGUCUGUCCCUCCUCCUCCCUCAUGAAGAAGCUGUAAACCUCAAUGUCUCCCCUCAGCCUCCUCCAGGCUGAACAGCCCAAGUGCCCUCAUGCAGCUGCAGCCCAUGUGUGAUGGAGCAAGUGCCCAAAUCCUGCAGCAAACAGGCAGGAUGGCAGCCAGGGAAUGAACACCACCAUGGAGCCUCUGUCCCUCUUUCCUCCCCAGUGGGUGAAGGAGAGAUUGAGCCUGUUCAUGAGCUCCUCCCUCCCUGUUUACACCCCACCCUGCUGCCCAAGAAGUUUCCAGAGAAGCCCAGGUUACCCUGGUGGGGUGUCCCAUGUCCCAGCCCUCCCUGUCCCUCCCCAGCCCCCAGGACCUGGUCAGGGUCUCGUUCAGGGAGCGCAGGGAGAUGCUGCCUUUCGCCAUCGUCCUGGAGAGCACCCAGAGGAGGAAUAAAUCUGGAGUGGGCUCGCUCCUCUCUCCUGCAGCCGGCAGCAGGGACAGGGGAUCCGAGUCCUGCAGGAGGUUGUUUGUUCCAGGCUUUUUAUAGCCUGUAUAUCCAAAUAUAGGUCAUGGAUGCACCAACACACGUCCAUGGACAUGUGGACAUGGCACACACUGAACCACACAGCCCCUUCCUCUGCCCCACUCAUCCCAUGGCUUCACAGAUGAACUAAUUUACAGCUAACACAAAAGGGAGUAACCACAAUUUUCUGCUUUUUUUAUUUUAUUGCUGUGUUUUGGCUUCAAUUUGCUGUUGUGCCCACCAGAUCAUGUCUUGGGCCAAAGUCUCCUGCUGGGAAAGGCUGUACAAGCAGAUUGCCUUUGUUUUUUUUUUUUUAAUUAAAAA
This is a non-coding RNA of Zonotrichia albicollis (white-throated sparrow), 4208 nucleotides long. Lineage: Eukaryota; Metazoa; Chordata; Aves; Passeriformes; Passerellidae. The record is from RefSeq and is a predicted model, not a curated record.